UACGGAGGGUGCAAGCGUUGUCCGGAUUUAUUGGGUUUAAAGGGUGCGUAGGCGGCCCGUUAAGUCAGCGGUGAAAUCCCAGGGCUCAACCCUGGAACUGCCGUUGAUACUGGCGGGCUUGAGUUCGGCGAAGGCGGGCGGAACUGGCGGUGUAGCGGUGAAAUGCUUAGAUACCGCCAAGAACCCCGAUUGCGUAGGCAGCUCGCUGUGCCGAAACUGACGCUGAGGCACGAAAGCGUGGGGAGCGAACAGG
This 253-nucleotide ribosomal RNA is filed under the name uncultured bacterium. RNAcentral's name for it is "partial 16S ribosomal RNA". It matches the Rfam family "Bacterial small subunit ribosomal RNA", at positions 524 to 776 of the family's 1533-position model. The record is from RNAcentral.